RNAcentral lists this unclassified non-coding RNA (376 nucleotides) under uncultured Solirubrobacterales bacterium. RNAcentral's name for it is "contains 16S-23S intergenic spacer region". Lineage: Bacteria; Bacillati; Actinomycetota; Thermoleophilia; Solirubrobacterales. The record is from RNAcentral.
UCCGGUUUAUCACCGGCAGUAUCGCAUGAGUCCCCAACUAAAUGCUGGCAACAUACGACGGGGGUUGCGCUCGUUGCGGGACUUAACCCAACAUCUCACGACACGAGCUGACGACAGCCAUGCACCACCUGUGAAAGCGUCCCGAAGGAAGACUGUAUCUCUACAGCUGUCGCUCACAUUUCAAGCCCAGGUAAGGUUCUUCGCGUUGCGUCGAAUUAAACCGCAUGCUCCGCUGCUUGUGCGGGUCCCCGUCAAUUCCUUUGAGUUUUAGCCUUGCGGCCGUACUCCCCAGGCGGGGCACUUAACGCGUUAGCUACGACGCGGAAGGAGUCGACACCUCCCACAUCUAGUGCCCAUCGUUUACGGCGUGGACUAC